This 425-nucleotide ribosomal RNA is filed under the name Bacillaceae bacterium CL6.3. RNAcentral's name for it is "bacterial SSU rRNA". It matches the Rfam family "Bacterial small subunit ribosomal RNA", at positions 92 to 502 of the family's 1533-position model. The record is from RNAcentral. Lineage: Bacteria; Bacillati; Bacillota; Bacilli; Caryophanales; Bacillaceae.
UUAGCGGCGGACGGGUGAGUAACACGUGGGUAACCUGCCUGUAAGACUGGGAUAACUCCGGGAAACCGGGGCUAAUACCGGAUAACUUUUUCCUUCGCAUGAAGGAGAAUUGAAAGGUGGCACUAGCUACCACUUACAGAUGGACCCGCGGCGCAUUAGCUAGUUGGUGAGGUAACGGCUCACCAAGGCGACGAUGCGUAGCCGACUUGAGAGGGUGAUCGGCCACACUGGGACUGAGACACGGCCCAGACUCCUACGGGAGGCAGCAGUAGGGAAUCUUCCGCAAUGGACGAAAGUCUGACGGAGCAACGCCGCGUGAGUGAUGAAGGUUUUCGGAUCGUAAAACUCUGUUGUUAGGGAAGAACAAGUAUCGUUCGAAUAGGGCGGUACCUUGACGGUACCUAACCAGAAAGCCACGGCUAACU